RNAcentral lists this transfer RNA (90 nucleotides) under Alsobacter metallidurans. Its description in RNAcentral is "tRNA-Ser". It matches the Rfam family "tRNA". From Rfam's summary of the family: Transfer RNA (tRNA) molecules are approximately 80 nucleotides in length. Their secondary structure includes four short double-helical elements and three loops (D, anti-codon, and T loops). The record is from RNAcentral. Lineage: Bacteria; Pseudomonadati; Pseudomonadota; Alphaproteobacteria; Hyphomicrobiales; Alsobacteraceae. RNAcentral also lists the same sequence under 2 other names.
GGAGAGGUGGCAGAGUGGUUGAAUGCACCGCACUCGAAAUGCGGCAUGGGUGCAAGCCCAUCGGGAGUUCGAAUCUCCCCCUCUCCGCCA